GACGAACGCUGGCGGCGUGCCUAAUACAUGCAAGUCGAACGCAGUGGGGACGGGGGAGUAACACGUGGGUAACCUCCCAUCAGAGGGGAUAACACUUGGAAACUGGUGCUAAACCGAUAUUGGUGGAUGGACUCGCUGGGCAUUAGCUAGUUGGUGGGGUAACGGCUCACCAGGGCCACGAUGCAUAGCCGGUCUGAGAGGGUGAUCAGCCACACUGGGACUGAGACACGGCCCAGACUCCUACGGGAGUCAGCAGUAGGGAAUCUUCGGCAAUGGGCGAAAGUCUGAUCGAGCAACGCCGCGUGAGUGAAGAAGGUUUUCGGAUCGUAAAGCUCUGUUGUUAAGGAAGCGUUAUCUACCCAGGAAGCCCCGGCUAACUACGUGCCAGCAGCCGCGGUAAUAC
RNAcentral lists this ribosomal RNA (403 nucleotides) under uncultured bacterium. RNAcentral describes it as "partial 16S ribosomal RNA". It matches the Rfam family "Bacterial small subunit ribosomal RNA", at positions 28 to 526 of the family's 1533-position model. The record is from RNAcentral.